GGCCUCAUCUUCUAACGGUUAGGAAAUCGGGUUCUCAUCCCGGCAAUCGGGGUUCGAUUCCCCGUGAGGUCACCA
Molecule: transfer RNA, 75 nt
Filed under: Candidatus Saccharimonadota bacterium
Lineage: Bacteria; Candidatus Saccharimonadota
Description: Candidatus Saccharibacteria bacterium tRNA-Glu
Rfam family: tRNA
About the family: Transfer RNA (tRNA) molecules are approximately 80 nucleotides in length. Their secondary structure includes four short double-helical elements and three loops (D, anti-codon, and T loops). Further hydrogen bonds mediate the characteristic L-shaped molecular structure. tRNAs have two regions of fundamental functional importance: the anti-codon, which is responsible for specific mRNA codon recognition, and the 3' end, to which the tRNAs corresponding amino acid is attached (by aminoacyl-tRNA synthetases). tRNAs cope with the degeneracy of the genetic code in two manners: having more than one tRNA (with a specific anti-codon) for a particular amino acid; and 'wobble' base-pairing, i.e. permitting non-standard base-pairing at the 3rd anti-codon position.
Source: RNAcentral